Molecule: long non-coding RNA, 434 nt
Organism: Nannospalax galili (Upper Galilee mountains blind mole rat)
Lineage: Eukaryota; Metazoa; Chordata; Mammalia; Rodentia; Spalacidae
Exons: 3
Source: RefSeq, a predicted model, not a curated record
UGGAAUUUGUUUGAAAAAUGAAAGCCCAUGUGAGGCUAAAAGUGGUGAGCAGUGUACCUUGCAAGUAGUUUCCAUAGGUAUGUAAGACCUGGGAUGUCUCAGAGUGAUUCUGUUUUCUUUCAGGGAUACAGCCCUCCCUGGAGUCCUGGGGUCAAAAGCAGGGAAUGUGGGAUCAUGUGUUUCCCUGUAAAAUUAGCCAAAGGCACCUCUUGGUGGUAGGAUGCUUUAUGGGUACCAAUAUUGUGCAUCAAUGGAACUACCACCAAGCAAAGUGUGACAUUUCAAUUUAAAUGCUGUAGUGACAAGUCCUUCUGUAACGGACUAUAGAAGUGACCCUUCUUUGCCCUGUUCUACUCUAGUGCUGGUCAUUGAAUCAUGGCCCUUGAAUAUUCCAGCAAACAUUCUACUACUGAACCAUGUAUCAAACUCUACUC